RNAcentral lists this long non-coding RNA (488 nucleotides) under Olea europaea subsp. europaea. The record is from RNAcentral. Lineage: Eukaryota; Viridiplantae; Streptophyta; Magnoliopsida; Lamiales; Oleaceae.
UGAUCUAAAAUGUACAAUCUUCUCUUGAACAAUGUAUAAAUAACUAAACACAAUCAUUUAUUUGCCAAUGAAUGAAAAUGCAAUAAUAACAAUAAUAAAAGCACGUUGAAAUAAGCAUUUUAAUAUUAAAAAUCAAAUACUGAAAUUAAUUAAAGGUCGGUAAAAUUACAACUGUAAUUCCCAUCACAAAUAGCUAGCCCAUUUUAUACAAAUUAAAAAAAAAAGGAGAAUAUUUCAUAUAAUACAUUGCAAAUACGAGAUAAUAAUGAAGAAAAUAAAAGAGUGAAAAUAAAACCCUUUUUGGAUUUGGAUUCUUGAGAGCUUGAUCUUGAUUGUCCCCAACUAUUUCUCCAAAUGCAUUCUCCUUUUUUGCUCUUGAUUUUGCCUCAAGAUAUCAAGAAAAAUGGAAAGAAAACGAAGAAAAGAAAGAAAGGAGAAAUAAAGAAAAUGAGAGAAAAUGAAAGAUGAAGAAGACCCAGCAAAAGAAG